AUAGGCCGGGUGUGGAAGCAGCGACGAAAGAGCUGUGGAGCUGACCGGUACUAAUAAGCCGAUCACUUGUCUA
RNAcentral lists this ribosomal RNA (73 nucleotides) under Kineococcus rhizosphaerae. Its description in RNAcentral is "partial 23S ribosomal RNA". The record is from RNAcentral. Lineage: Bacteria; Bacillati; Actinomycetota; Actinomycetes; Kineosporiales; Kineosporiaceae.